AUGCACAGUGUGUGUAAGGCAGGAAAGGCAGAGAAGAAAGUAGGUGACAAAACCAGUUUUAGUGCCAGUAAAGUGUUGUUUUCUAGGAAACAGCACAUGCACAUCUUCAUUGUUGCUGGGUUGCUACUUCUGCAGGUCAAAGCAAAUCCACAUUUUUAUAUUGUAUCAUAAAUUUUAGUUGUGUUUGAUAUGGGUAGGAAGUUCAGAAAUUUGAAUACAGAUGAAUUAUAGGAAUGAAGGUAAAAUAGGGGAAAAAGGUUUCCUGCUGAGGUACUCUGUGGAACAGUGUUUUAUUUCUAGUAAUAUAAGUUUUUUUAAAAAAGAGAAUGUGUUAAAAAACCAUUAUUUUUCAAUGUCAUGAUGUGUAUGAUGAAAUGUGAAAGCCAUUAAAGUGCUAAAGAAAUCAAAAAUUAAAGAUGACAUUUAGUCCUUAAGCGAUCACUAAUACUGAUUAGUGCCUCAGAGUAAUAUAAAAUAAGGAAAAUGUGUGAAUGAAAUUUUGAGUUUUCUGGAUUCCAUAGUUUUUCUACUCUGUGUCUUGUAAUUUAGAGUGUUAUUUGACUAUAUAUCAAAAUUUCCAAUUUAUGAACGAGCCUUUGUUGUGAACAUGUUCAAGGUACAAGCUUUUGACAAUGGAGAACUUAAUGACCCACAGCAAGAAAAGUGAGAAACAGCAAUCAAUAACACAUGGAAGUGAAUUUACUAAUUUCUUCAUUAUAAAGAUAAUCAUGGUUCUGAAAUGCAGUAAAAAAGAUGAUGUUGAGAUGCUGUGGUUAAUGGGGGCCAUAUAAAACUGAAGUAGAUGGAAGAGAACAGAUAGAAACUUGAGGAGAAAUAGCCUGUCCAGAGAUCUGCUUGCUGCUUAGUUUGAAAUUCAUAAGGUGCUAUGUAGAAAUGUAAUUUCCUUGGAUUUCCAGGUACUUGGAUACUAUAAAUGAGCUCCUUCACCAUGUUGUAAUUAUGACAGAAAAAAUAACUUGUUAGAAUCCUUAAAUACUUAAGGUUGGAAAAUACCCAGCACUGCCAUAUUCAUCACUAAACCAAGUGUCCCAAAUGCCACAUCUACAUCCUUUCUGAGCAC
Molecule: long non-coding RNA, 1081 nt
Filed under: Lonchura striata (white-rumped munia)
Lineage: Eukaryota; Metazoa; Chordata; Aves; Passeriformes; Estrildidae
Description: domestica (Bengalese finch) lncRNA (ENSLSDG00000007531.1)
Source: RNAcentral